RNAcentral lists this transfer RNA (73 nucleotides) under Marmota monax (woodchuck). RNAcentral describes it as "tRNA.Ala". Lineage: Eukaryota; Metazoa; Chordata; Mammalia; Rodentia; Sciuridae. The record is from RNAcentral.
GUGGAGCUAUGGCUCAGUGGUAGAGUGCUUGCCUAGCAUGUGUGAGGCACUGGGUUCGAUUCUCAAUACCACA